GAUGGUUGACCAAGCAAAAAUAUCAGUGUUUACUCUUGAGUAAAUUUACUAACUGCUGCAGCUCUGGAUUGGGCAGUUGCGAUCCAAUUUGAACCAUUUUCUCGGGAUCCUCUUCUUGUAAUGGGAUAGAGACCAGUUGUUUAGCUGGUUAACCCCUAUUUUGAUUUUUUCUUUGGUUUAAUUUAUCGACAGAUAGAGAGUCUUCAGGUUUAUUAUUUUGGAUGG
RNAcentral lists this long non-coding RNA (225 nucleotides) under Elaeis guineensis (African oil palm). RNAcentral describes it as "long non-coding RNA (EGUI_LNC010765)". The record is from RNAcentral. Lineage: Eukaryota; Viridiplantae; Streptophyta; Magnoliopsida; Arecales; Arecaceae.